RNAcentral lists this ribosomal RNA (861 nucleotides) under Bacillus cereus. RNAcentral describes it as "bacterial SSU rRNA". It matches the Rfam family "Bacterial small subunit ribosomal RNA", at positions 71 to 858 of the family's 1533-position model. Lineage: Bacteria; Bacillati; Bacillota; Bacilli; Caryophanales; Bacillaceae. The record is from RNAcentral.
UUUUUUUUUUUUAAGGGGGGCCCCCCUAAUAGUGUAGGGCGCAGCCGCAACGCCAUUAGAGAGGUUGCUCUUAUGAUUUUAGUGGCGGACUUUAGAGUAACACGUGGGUAACCUGCCCAUAAGACUGGGAUAAUUCAGGGAAACCGGGGCUAAUACCGGAUAACAUUUUGAACCGCAUGGUUCGAAAUUGAAAGGCGGCUUCGGCUGUCACUUAUGGAUGGACCCGCGUCGCAUUAGCUAGUUGGUGAGGUAACGGCUCAACAAGGCAAAGAUGCGUAGACGACAUGAGAGGGUGAUCGGCCACAGUGGGACUGAGACAAGGCCCAGACUCCUACGGGAGGCAGCAGUAGGGAAUCUUCCGCAAUGGACGAAAGUCUGAUGGAGCAAGGCCGCGUGAGUGAUGAAGGCUUUCGGGUCGUAAAAUUCUGUUGUUAGGGAAGAAUUAGUGCUAGUUGAAUAAGUUGGCACCUUGACGGUACCUAACCAGAAAGCCACGGCUAACUACGUGCCAGCAGCCGCGGUAAUACGUAGGUGGCAAGCGUUAUCCGGAAUUAUUGGGCGUAAAGCGCGCGCAGGUGGUUUCUUAAGUCUGAUGUGAAAGCCCACGGCUAAAUGGUGGAGGGUCAUUGGAAACUGGGAGACUUGAGUGCAGAAGAGGAAAGUGGAAUUCCAUGUGUAGCGGUGAAAUGCGUAGAGAUAUGGAGGAACACCAGUGGCGAAGGCGACUUUCUGGUCUGUAACUGACACUGAGGCGCGAAAGCGUGGGGAGCAAACAGGAUUAGAUACCCUGGUAGUCAACGCCGGUAAACGAUGAGUGCUAAGUGUUAGAGGGUUUCCGCCCUUUAGUGCUGAAGUUAACGC